This is a non-coding RNA of Neotoma lepida (desert woodrat), 73 nucleotides long. The record is from Rfam. Lineage: Eukaryota; Metazoa; Chordata; Mammalia; Rodentia; Cricetidae.
GGAGGGGUGGCUCAGAGGUUAAGAGCACUGACUGUUCUUCCAGAGGUCCUGAGUUCAAUUCCCAGCACCCACA